Molecule: long non-coding RNA, 446 nt
Filed under: Cavia porcellus (domestic guinea pig)
Lineage: Eukaryota; Metazoa; Chordata; Mammalia; Rodentia; Caviidae
Description: lncRNA (ENSCPOG00000031326.1)
Source: RNAcentral
UUGAAAUUCAAUGCUUUUUUAGGGGCAUAAAUAUACAACAGGGAAGAAGAGUCUCCCAGCCACACAUCAUUGUGAAAAACACGGAAGCAUCUUAAGGCGCUGUGUAUGAGUCAUCUCUUCCGAACUUGCUUGUUCUGCCAGUGUGUACUAGAAACACACAGGUUCAGUUUAACAGGAACCAGAGCGCUGGCUGAUGAGGAGCAGGAACAACAGCAGCAACCACAGGCACCACCAGAGAGAACACCAUGGGAAAGACACGGAAAACCAGUACUCUGCUGGUACUGUUUGCUUCUUUCACAUGUGCUCUCCCCAGCCCAUCCUUCCCUCAUGUGUCUUUCUGUCUCUGUAUUUAUCCCUUUCAAGUGUGCGCUGUUAUUUCCCAGGGUUGGAUGGGCUGCUGUUCAUAGUGAAGAUGCCAAUAUCUUGUGAAUAAAAUCCUCCAUGUC